RNAcentral lists this long non-coding RNA (1958 nucleotides) under Cinara cedri. The record is from RNAcentral. Lineage: Eukaryota; Metazoa; Arthropoda; Insecta; Hemiptera; Aphididae.
UUUUCAUUAAUUAGCCAUGGUACGAUAACCAUACUGUUCUUCUUAAAAGUAAUUGUGUUGUCAAAUCCUUCUCUGACCUCUGUUUUAUCCAUCAACAAAUUUACUAUAUUAAAUGUUAAAAUAUGUAUUGUGUCUAUUAUACCAAGCUGUUUAGCAGAUAUUGGUAACAAAGUUGCACAGCCAAUGAUUUUCUGUUAAUGUGUCAAAGGCUGCAAUGUCCAAGUCUAUCAGAAUAUCUGAAUUUAGGUCGGUCCUUGUGUAAUCAUAUGUUCUAACUAAAUACUAUUUAUUACUAUUUUACCUGGCCAUUUUCAAAAAUGUUAAAUCCUUGGGAAGACCAUUCUUCUAAUGUUUUCUGACUUGUCAAUUUAGUUAAAUGUAGAUUUAAAACUACCAGAUAUUAAAGUGGAUUUCUUUGUGGUAUCGUCUCCAUGGGACAUAUUUGAGUCUAUUUGAAUAUCUCUAAUGCAACUAUCUUUUCUAUAGUCUGAUUGUUGCAAAUUUUUUUUUUCUAUGGUGUUAAGAUUAUUCAAAGUACUCUUGCUUGUAUUUUUUUUAUAAAUUUUUGUUUACCUAAAUUCUGAAUUUUAGGUACCUUUGGUUUAUUUUUUACUUUGUUUUGAAAAUUGAGCACUUGGGUACACCUAACCCAAUUUUCUGAAUUUUGUAAGUUAUUUGUUUAUUAACCUUGAGUAUAUGUUCCCUAGUGGAUUUCAAAAAUCGGCUACAUUUAAGUCUGCGAUCACUGUAUAACAUGUUGAUUUUAAUCAUUUUGAACCAGAAUUCCACUGUAGCGUACUCUUGCUCCAUUUUCAACUCCAUUAUUAACUUAAUUAUUCACAAUGGGUGUCCAAAGCGAAAAGAAGGAUAUGAUUUAGCAACAAACUCUUGUAAAUAUGAUUCUUCAAAGUAAUCAUGAUUGCUAUCGCUACCCUUGCUCUUUUGUCUGAAAUCACUUUCAAUUUUCACUUUUAUUGACUAAAAUUUGCAAUAAAUCAUAGAUUUAUCAGAUCCAGACCUGCAUAGGAACUCACUCAGUUUAUCCAAAUUAUCUUUAUCAUCCAUUUUGUCAGGUGACUUAAUCAAAACAAAAAAUUGGUUUUCUUACUGAUUAUUAACAUUUAGUUUGUUCAGUUUCAUUAGGAGACAAUAAUAUAAAGGCAAAUUGGCUGGGUCAUUUUUCUAUAACUUUCAAAGUCACAGUGUUAAAAAGUAUGACAAUCAAUAAUUUGGUUUUUUAUUUUUUCAGUUUUGCCAUUGUUCGACUCUGGUUGAUAAUAUUUAUAAACAUGAUUUACUAUUAUUUUUGUGUAAUGAUUGGCGCAGACCAUUAUGACUGUAUAAUUGACCCAUCAAUAUUUUUAACUAAUACUGUAUAACACCAAUUCUAGUUGUCAAAUAUUGAGUAAAGCCAUUCCAAUCAAUGAUCAAAGCAUUCAUUUGUGCAUAACUAAAAUCAGUAACUAUAUUUGAAAAUACUGGCCAAUUCAGUUUGUGUUUUAAAACAAAACAUUUAAACUGUUAAGCCAUUGAGAUAGUACUACUGUGUUGUGUGCCGAACUGAUCAUUUUGACAAUUGGAUAAGUCACACUUAAAUUUCUAGGUCCUGGAACAUUUAAAAUUAUAAUAUAAUAUAAACUCUUCUUAAUGUUUUUGUCACUUUGUUAUUUGUUGUAAUUCAGUUUAAAAUAUUCGUAGAUAUUUGAAAUUUAGACAGGCAAAUUAUAUUUGCCUUUUCUAGACAAGGUCAAAUUAUCAAAAUAUUUGAGCCAUUUUUAAACUUUUUUAAAAAAUUUAAUAUUUUUGUUGAAAUUCAGAUUUAAAUAUUCUUAUCGCCUCUGUCAAUUUAUAAUUAGACCAGAAAAUGUAUAUUUGCUUUUUGUAGACAAGGUAAAACUUUUAAAAAAUAUAAGAUAUUUUCGAACUAUUUAUAAACAUUAUAAUCUUAAGAGUUUUGU